UGCAGUCGAGCGGCAGCGACAUGACCGAACCUUCGGGGGACGUUAUGGGCGGCGAGCGGCGGACGGGUGAGUAAUGCCUGGGAAUAUGCCCUGAUGUGGGGGAUAACCAUUGGAAACGAUGGCUAAUACCGCAUAAUCUCUUCGGAGCAAAGAGGGGGACCUUCGGGCCUCUCGCGUCAGGAUUAGCCCAGGUGGGAUUAGCUAGUUGGUGGGGUAACGGCUCACCAAGGCGACGAUCCCUAGCUGGUCUGAGAGGAUGAUCAGCCACACUGGAACUGAGACACGGUCCAGACUCCUACGGGAGGCAGCAGUGGGGAAUAUUGCACAAUGGGGGAAACCCUGAUGCAGCCAUGCCGCGUGUGUGAAGAAGGCCUUCGGGUUGUAAAGCACUUUCAGUCGUGAGGAAGGGUGUGCAGUUAAUAGCUGUACAUUUUGACGUUAGCGACAGAAGAAGCACCGGCUAACUCCGUGCCAGCAGCCGCGGUAAUACGGAGGGUGCGAGCGUUAAUCGGAAUUACUGGGCGUAAAGCGCAUGCAGGCGGUCUGUUAAGCAAGAUGUGAAAGCCCGGGGCUCAACCUCGGAACAGCAUUUUGAACUGGCAGACUAGAGUCUUGUAGAGGGGGGUAGAAUUUCAGGUGUAGCGGUGAAAUGCGUAGAGAUCUGAAGGAAUACCGGUGGCGAAGGCGGCCCCCUGGACAAAGACUGACGCUCAGAUGCGAAAGCGUGGGGAGCAAACAGGAUUAGAUACCCUGGUAGUCCACGCCGUAAACGAUGUCUACUUGGGAGGUUGUGGCCUUGAGCCGUGGCUUUCGGAGCUAACGCGUUAAGUAGACCGCCUGGGGAGUACGGUCGCAAGAUUAAAACUCAAAUGAAUUGACGGGGGCCCGCACAAGCGGUGGAGCAUGUGGUUUAAUUCGAUGCAACGCGA
This 929-nucleotide ribosomal RNA is filed under the name bacterium. RNAcentral describes it as "bacterial SSU rRNA". It matches the Rfam family "Bacterial small subunit ribosomal RNA", at positions 56 to 964 of the family's 1533-position model. The record is from RNAcentral.